This 408-nucleotide ribosomal RNA is filed under the name uncultured bacterium. RNAcentral's name for it is "partial 16S ribosomal RNA". It matches the Rfam family "Bacterial small subunit ribosomal RNA", at positions 28 to 526 of the family's 1533-position model. The record is from RNAcentral.
GACGAACGCUGGCGGCGUGCUUAACACAUGCAAGUCGAACGAAGUGGCGAACGGGUUAGCAACGCGUAAUCAACCUGCCCUUCAGAGGGGGACAACAGUUGGAAACGAUUGCUAAUACCGCAUACUGACGGGGGGGAUUGCGUCUGAUAAGCUAGUUGGAGGGGUAACGGGCCAACAAGGCGAUGAUCAGUAGCCGGGCUGAGAGGAUGAACGGCCACAAUGGGAAUGAGACACGGCCCAGACUCCUACUGGAGGCAGCAGUGGGGAAUCUUCCGCAAUUGACGAAAGUCUGACGGAACAACGCCGCGUGAGUGAUGACGGCCUUCGGGUUGGAAAGCUCUGUUAAUCGGGACGCGGUACCGGAAUAGAAAGCCACGGCUAACUACGUGCCAGCAGCCGCGGUAAUUC